CUAACAAAUACGGUGUUAUGACGCACGAAAAAACAAAACAGUUUAUUCAGUAGUGUAACACCGAUUGGUUCUUACGUGUUAAAUGAUUGUAUAUCAUAGACAUAAAGCUUCAAUAUAUUUCAUCAACUUAUAUUGUGUAUCUGAUUGUAAAGGAACAUUAUUUCUAAGUGUACGAAGUAAAAAGUAACUGAGUUGAAAAUAGUGUUUUAAAAUCUAAAAAUGAUGAUCAAAAAGUCUACAUUUUCCAUAUACUUUAUAAUUUUCUUAGAGUAUAAUAAAAUAAUUUCAACAGUAACAUGCUAUUGCAAAGAUUGUUCAGAUAGUUAUCCAGAUUUUGGUGAUGUAAAUGAAAAAAUCCACAAUGGUUCUGAACAAGGUGAUCACCAAGCCAAAGAAAAAGAGAAGGAAUUUGGACAAGAGAAAGCAGUUGAUGAAAAUGUAGAAAUCACCUGUGAUGCUCAAACCGUUCAAAUUAUGAAUUCCAUACAACUGGGAAUACAAGAAGCAGUUACCAAAAAUGAUUCGAAUGUUAUCUGUUCGUCAGAGUUCCGUUUUACAGAAAGUUUAGACACAGAGCUUAUAGAUUUGAAAAAAAAUUAUCAACUAUCAGAUAAUGAAGGUUAUAAAUUUUAUACAUACGCUCCAUCUACAUUCCAUUAUUUUAGAGAUUUUUUUGGCAUUCAGUUAAAUGAAUAUGUUGGCUCGUUGUGUAAAUCACCCCUUAUUGUAGUGUCCAACUCAGGUGCAAGUACAUCAAUAUUUUACCUCACACAGGAUAGAAAAUUUAUCAUAAAAUCUUUACAGAAAGAUGAAGAUGAAUGUUUAAAUAAGCUACUCAAUAGAUACAUCACUCAUUUGAAGCUCAAUUCGGAAUCUCUGUUGCCAAAAUUUUCCGGUUUUUAUCGUUACAAAAGCAAAUUAAUAGACAUUAAAUUAGUAUCUAUGAAUAAUUUACUACCUUCAAACAUAAAAAUGCAAGUAAAGUAUGAUCUGAAAGGUUCAACUUUCAACAGAACAGCUUCCAGAAAUGAAAAACUUAAGCCAUCGCCAACACUUAAAGAUUUAGACUUUGACGAGGAUGAUCUUGAUGGUUUGUUUUUGAUGCCACACACUCUCUCAGAUCUUCUCAAAACUAUCAAUAGUGAUUGUGAUUUUCUAAAAAAUUGUAAUAUAAUGGAUUACAGUCUUUUAUUAGGCAUUCAUAAACUCGAUGAAGAUAUUUCUACUUGUAGUCAGGCAGCUUCAGCCAGGUUUAAUCGUUUGAUGGUUAAUUCGAUAGGAAUGCAAGAUAUUCAAGCAGACACUGCAACUUUUGAGAAUGAAAAGCCUUGUCCUUUUUUAAGAGGUAGUAUACCUGCCAUAAGUGGAAGUGAUAAAAAAUUGUUACUAUUUGUUGGAAUUAUUGAUAUAUUACAAGAUUAUGGAAUAAUGAAAAGAAUUGAGAAUAUGUAUAAGACCUUAAAAAUAUGGUUGACAGUUUGUAUUCCAUCAGAUCUCAGCUCUAUUUCUGCAAAACCACCCAAAAAAUAUGCCUUUAGAUUUAUGGAAUUUAUGAAAAAUUCGGUGUUCAAGCCAUAUUUGUCUUCUCGAGAACGUGAAGAACAAUCCAAGCAACAAAGCGUCGAAAUCGUGCUGGGUAAAUGACCACAUGAUGAAACCGAUGCGGUAAACUAGUAACUACCCAUUCAAUUUCAAUCAAUUCAAAAAUUGGAUCCGAUAAGUCUCCCUCGGGCGCAUAAUCAAUACGUGAUCUACCGUCAGAAACUUUUGAAUCGCCUUUAAGUGCCAGCUGCAAAAAACCCUCAAUAUCGCAUUGUCACGACCAUGAUGUAAACAGCAUGAAAAAGUUCCAGAUUUGGUUCAAGUCAGCAAAGCACGUCACUAGCUUACCAAUAGAAAUUAGACCGUUAAAAGAAGAAUAUCGAUUCUAGUUAAAUGGUUGUAAUUAAAAAAUAUCAUUCGAAGCUGUAACUACCCAUAUAGGUACUUGCAACAUUCAAUAAUAUUGUUAUAUUUUAUACACACUCAAUAACAUUUUUAGUGAAUUUUUUUGGCAAAAACUUACUCAACCUACUGCAUUAGGUGACGUUAAACAACGUCGAUACAUCGGUUUAGAAUACCUAGAAGCCACUGCAGCAUAUUUAAUUUGCAAACUAAAUAUUUACUCAGGUGAUAAAAAUAAAUAAAUACCAUAGUCGAACUACCGAAAAGCAAGUAAUAUGAACUACUUAUGUGAAUGCUUAUGUUUUAAA
This is an RNA transcript of Myzus persicae (green peach aphid), 2252 nucleotides long. It is a transcript of the gene named phosphatidylinositol 4-phosphate 5-kinase type-1 beta-like, with no coding region annotated. The transcript has 5 exons. Lineage: Eukaryota; Metazoa; Arthropoda; Insecta; Hemiptera; Aphididae. The record is from RefSeq and is a predicted model, not a curated record.